This is a long non-coding RNA of Lolium rigidum, 500 nucleotides long. RefSeq lists it as uncharacterized. NCBI's taxonomy places the organism in Eukaryota, Viridiplantae, Streptophyta, Magnoliopsida, Poales, Poaceae. The transcript has 3 exons. The record is from RefSeq and is a predicted model, not a curated record.
AUGUGGGAGAGUAAUUACAGAUCACAGAAGUAGCCUAGCACCUGAAACUGUUGAGGCAUUGAUGUGUUAUGGUGAUUGGAUUAGAUCUCGCAAACCUACAAAUGCUGGACAGGAAAACCGCUGUGAAGAACAAAGAGUGGUGGAUCAUCUUGUCUCUGGUACCUGAUGUGCCAGAUGUUAACUGAUAUGUACCUGAGGGAGGCGGAGAUGCGGGAAGUGAGCGAGAAAACGAAUUCUAGGGUUGCCUGGUUCAGCAUCUUGUCACUGGGUGUGUGCGUUCUGAAUCUGUCGAACUUCACUACUUCUAAUUCAUCCGGAUGUUUAACAGGGCAUUGUGAAGCUUACUUCUUUCAGUAAAUUUUCCAUGACCUGAUAAUAUUGUGUACUCAUUUUAAAAGAGAUGCUCAUGUGUUUGAGAGGCAUUCUCCUGUCAUUUCUGUUUGUGUUGUUUUGAGAUACUCUGAAUUUAAUGGGACAUUUUCCUGUCAUUUCCAUUUGUA